RNAcentral lists this ribosomal RNA (303 nucleotides) under uncultured bacterium. RNAcentral's name for it is "partial 16S ribosomal RNA". It matches the Rfam family "Bacterial small subunit ribosomal RNA", at positions 507 to 807 of the family's 1533-position model. The record is from RNAcentral.
AGCAGUAGCCGCGGGAAAACGUAGGGUGCGAGCGUUAAUCGGAAUUACUGGGCGUAAAGCGUGCGCAGGCGGUUAUAUAAGACAGAUGUGAAAUCCCCGGGCUCAACCUGGGAACUGCAUUUGUGACUGUAUAGCUAGAGUACGGCAGAGGGGGAUGGAAUUCCGCGUGUAGCAGUGAAAUGCGUAGAUAUGCGGAGGAACACCGAUGGCGAAGGCAAUCCCCUGGGCCUGUACUGACGCUCAUGCACGAAAGCGUGGGGAGCAAACAGGAUUAGAUACCCCGGUAGUCCCUGUCUCUUAUAC